AGCCGAACAUCAGAAUUGCUCAUUAUGUAAAACGCAGAACAAGUGCCCGAGCUACUGGCGUUGGUAGGCGCUGUUAUGUUUUCCGUUUAGCGCAGGGAUGGUCUAAAACGCGGUCGGCGCUGGGUAUGACUCUGUUGCGCCAAAGAUGCCGCCUCUGUCUCUUUCUCCUCCUGAUUCUGGCUGUGCCCGCGACCCCACAAGUCUCUGUGAUCGUUGAUGGAAAGGCUAAUGCCAAGUUGGGGUCAGACACUAAGUUGUACUGCAGAGUGGAAACCCUGGAAUUGAUAUCCCAAAUCACUUGGCAGAGGAAGUUGUCGCCCAACAAUGAGAAUUUCCUAACCUACAGCAAAGGAGAGGAACCCCUGCACCUCACUCCGUUUGGGGAGAGAGUGAGAUUUCUGGGCAAUGGGGAUCUUGGAGGCUCCAUACUGAUACCCAAUGUGACCCUGGCUGAUGAGGGCACCUACCUCUGUAUCUACACCACCUUUCCUAGUGGGACAAAGGAAGGGGAGAUUCAUUUAUCCAUCUGGGUGGAGCCGUCCGUGGAAGUGCAGCUUAAUCCAGUGCUGUUGGGACCAAAUCCGGAUAUUAUUGCUCAAUGUGUAGCCUUUGCCUCCAGACCUGCGGCUAAUAUCAAAUGGCAUACAAAUGGCUUCCAAUACACAUCAAAGGAAACCCCAACACAGCAUUCUAAUGGAACAGUGACAGUACAGAGCCAGCUAUGGAUGACGCCUUCUCUUGGACUUUAUGGGCAUCAGGCAACUUGUCUGGUUUCUCUGCCGGAUCAAAUAUUUGAGAAAGAGAUAAAUUUCAGCAUUACUAACAUUCAGUAUGCCCCUCAGACAGUGCAUGUCAGAGUACAUAGAAUAAACGAAGACCUUCCAUUGAUUGAAUGUUGGGCAGAUGGCAACCCUCCAGCCAACUAUACAUGGAGGAGGGAGAAUGGAUCCAUUCCUGAUGAUGUGGCCCAGGUUAAAGGGAACCUCCUGGAACAUACGGAUGAUAAUGGCCUGUAUGUCUGUGAGGCCACAAACAGCAUUGGGAGGAACUCGCACUCAGUCUAUUUAUAUAAAUAUACAGGUGCAAUACCCCGUUGUUACACAGGAGUAUGUAUUUCAGUAAGUCUGCUUGCAGUUUUAGUAAUCCUCUGCGCUGUGUGUUACUACAUCUGGGAGCAGAGGAAUAAGAAUAGCAGGGCUGUUGAAUUUGUCUCGCCCACUACAAGUCAAUUACAGGCCAAAUUCUUCUCCUGGGAAGGGCAAAAAUGCCAACAUGAGUUAACCUCAUCAGGAAACCGUUAGGGUGGAGUGGAAUUUGCAUUCACCCUUUAUAUGCUAGGAAUUGUAAAAAUGUACAGUACAGUACAGGGAAGGAGAAGAAGUACAGACACAGAGUGGGACCCGAGAACAGGAAGAAACAGAACAUUUUGCAGAUGCACAGUCAGACCUGUAAGAUAUGAAUGAAUUUAUAUAGAGAAAAGCUGUAGCUACCCUUGACCAACAGACCCAUUAGCAGACCCAGAGGCACGGCUCAUGAGGAGGCAUGGGCAGAGAGUGCUAUGAGAAUGGCAAUGCAGAGAGAUGACUUCUCAGAAUAUGUUAAAAUCACUAAAGAAAGCGGGCAGAGACCAUAGAAGAGAUUAGGGAUAAGAGCAACCAGAGGAGGUUAGCAAACUGUUGGGGGGGGCACCGGGCUCAGUACUGCUUGUGUGUUGGGUCCUAAACCACUUCUGACCUUGUGGUCAAGUUUUUUUUUGAUCCCUGUUUAAUAAUUCCCCAAAUACCGAGGUGAUAUAUUCAGUAAUAUAAACAUUCAGUAUGUGCAGUUGCUGGAGGAGGAAGCAGUUAAUCCAGUGUCUGACUGGGGGUCCCAGGACCCACCAGAGCUGCUGCCUCUGGGCCCACCAAACCCUCCUUGGCCCCCCUGCCCAAGCUGCAACCCCCUCCAGCACCCCGACACCUACCUUCUCCUUCUUGCA
Xenopus laevis (African clawed frog) is the source of this 1978-nucleotide RNA transcript. It is a transcript of the gene named nectin cell adhesion molecule 1 like 2 gene 1 S homeolog, with no coding region annotated. The transcript is spliced from 9 exons. The record is from RefSeq and is a predicted model, not a curated record. Lineage: Eukaryota; Metazoa; Chordata; Amphibia; Anura; Pipidae.